Molecule: ribosomal RNA, 331 nt
Filed under: uncultured bacterium
Lineage: Bacteria
Description: bacterial SSU rRNA
Rfam family: Bacterial small subunit ribosomal RNA
Source: RNAcentral
AGGGUUCGAUCAUGGCUCAGGAUGAACGCUGGCGGCGUGCCUAAUACAUGCAAGUCGUACGAUGGAGAUCCAGCUUGCUGGAUUGAAGUAGUGGCGAACGGGUGAGUAAUACAUAAGCAACCUGCCUAUAACGUCUGGGAUAACAUAUGGAAACGUAUGCUAAUACCGGAUAGGUCAUUUUCCGGCAUCGGGAAAUGAUUAAAGGUUUGAAACGCGAAUAGAUGGGCUUAUGUUGCAUUAGCUUGUUGGUGAGGUAACGGCUCACCAAGGCGAUGAUGCAUAGCCGGCCUAAGAGGGUGAACGGCCACAUUGGAACUGAGACACGGUCCAA